GGCCGAAAGGCGUAGUCGAUGGGAAACAGGUUAAUAUUCCUGUACUUGGUGUUACUGCGAAGGGGGGACGGAGAAGGCUAUGUUAGCCGGGCGACGGUUGUCCCGGUUUAAGCAUGUAGGCUGAUUGUCCAGGCAAAUCCGGAUAAUCAAGGCUGAGGUGUGAUGACGAGGCACUACGGUGCUGAAGUAACAAAUGCCCUGCUUCCAGGAAAAGCCUCUAAGCAUCAGGUAACAUCAAAUCGUACCCCAAACCGACACAGGUGGUCAGGUAGAGAAUACCAAGGCGCUUGAGAGAACUCGGGUGAAGGAACUAGGCAAAAUGGUGCCGUAACUUCGGGAGAAGGCACGCUGGUGUGUAGGUGAAGCCCCUGCGGGUGGAGCUGAGACCAGUCGAAGAUACCAGCUGGCUGCAACUGUUUAUUAAAAACACAGCACUGUGCAAACACGAAAGUGGACGUAUACGGUGUGACGCCUGCCCGGUGCCGGAAGGUUAAUUGAUGGGGUUAUCCGUAAGGAGAAGCUCUUGAUCGAAGCCCCGGUAAACGGCGGCCGUAACUAUCACGGUCCUAAGGUA
Molecule: ribosomal RNA, 574 nt
Filed under: Enterococcus faecium
Lineage: Bacteria; Bacillati; Bacillota; Bacilli; Lactobacillales; Enterococcaceae
Description: partial 23S ribosomal RNA
Rfam family: Bacterial large subunit ribosomal RNA
Source: RNAcentral